AACGAACGCUGGCGGCAGGCCUCAAACAUGCAAGUCUAGGGGACGUAGCAAUACGUCACCGGCGGACGGGUGCGUAACACGUGGGAAUAUACCUUUCGGUACGGAACAACGCAGGGAAACUUGCGCUAAUACCGUAUACGUCCUUACGGAGAAAGAUUUAUCGCCGAAGGAUUAGCCCGCGUUCGAUUAGCUAGUUGGUGAGGUAAUGGCUCACCAAGGCAACGAUCGAUAGCUGUUCUGAGAGGAAGAUCAGCCACACUGGGACUGAGACACGGCCCAGACUCCUACGGGAGGCAGCAGUUGGGAAUCUUGGACAAUGGGGGAAACCCUGAUCCAGCCAUGCCGCGUGAGUGAUGAAGGCCUUCGGGUUGUAAAGCUCUUUUACCCGGGAAGAUAAUGACUGUACCGGGAGAAUAAGCUCCGGCUAACUUCGUGCCAGCAGCCGCGGUAAUACGAAGGGGGCUAGCGUUGUUCGGAAUUACUGGGCGUAAAG
RNAcentral lists this ribosomal RNA (493 nucleotides) under uncultured bacterium. Its description in RNAcentral is "bacterial SSU rRNA". It matches the Rfam family "Bacterial small subunit ribosomal RNA", at positions 28 to 565 of the family's 1533-position model. The record is from RNAcentral.